This 253-nucleotide ribosomal RNA is filed under the name uncultured bacterium. Its description in RNAcentral is "partial 16S ribosomal RNA". It matches the Rfam family "Bacterial small subunit ribosomal RNA", at positions 524 to 776 of the family's 1533-position model. The record is from RNAcentral.
UACGGAGGGUGCGAGCGUUGUUCGGAAUCACUGGGCGUAAAGCGCGUGUAGGCGGCCCAUUAAGUCUGAUGUGAAAGCCCGGGGCUCACUCCCGGAAGUGCAUUGGAAACUGAUGGACUCGAGUCCCGGAGAGGAGAGUGGAAUUCCUGGUGUAGCGGUGAAAUGCGUAGAUAUCAGGAGGAACACCGGUGGCGAAGGCGGCUCUCUGGACGGUGACUGACGCUGAGACGCGAAAGCGUGGGGAGCAAACAGG